This is a small nucleolar RNA of Mobula hypostoma (lesser devil ray), 79 nucleotides long. RefSeq annotates it as small nucleolar RNA SNORD20. Lineage: Eukaryota; Metazoa; Chordata; Chondrichthyes; Myliobatiformes; Myliobatidae. The record is from RefSeq and is a predicted model, not a curated record. The transcript has a single exon.
UGGAAAUGAUGAAUUAGCAUCUGAUCAAUGUGAUGAAGUUUUUGAACACAUUCCUCUAGAUAGUCAAGUACUGAUCCAG